UGCAAGUCGAGCGAAUCUGAGGGAGCUUGCUCCCAAAGAUUAGCGGCGGACGGGUGAGUAACACGUGGGCAACCUGCCUGUAAGACUGGGAUAACUUCGGGAAACCGGAGCUAAUACCGGAUAAUCCCUUUCCUCACAUGAGGAAAGGCUGAAAGACGGUUUCGGCUGUCACUUACAGAUGGGCCCGCGGCGCAUUAGCUAGUUGGUGAGGUAACGGCUCACCAAGGCCACGAUGCGUAGCCGACCUGAGAGGGUGAUCGGCCACACUGGGACUGAGACACGGCCCAGACUCCUACGGGAGGCAGCAGUAGGGAAUCUUCCGCAAUGGACGAAAGUCUGACGGAGCAACGCCGCGUGAGUGAUGAAGGUUUUCGGAUCGUAAAACUCUGUUGUUAGGGAAGAACAAGUAUCGGAGUAACUGCCGGUACCUUGACGGUACCUAACCAGAAAGCCACGGCUAACUACGUGCCAGCAGCCGCGGUAAUACGUAGGUGGCAAGCGUUGUCCGGAAUUAUUGGGCGUAAAGCGCGCGCAGGUGGUUCCUUAAGUCUGAUGUGAAAGCCCACGGCUCAACCGUGGAGGGUCAUUGGAAACUGGGGAACUUGAGUGCAGAAGAGGAAAGUGGAAUUCCAAGUGUAGCGGUGAAAUGCGUAGAGAUUUGGAGGAACACCAGUGGCGAAGGCGACUUUCUGGUCUGUAACUGACACUGAGGCGCGAAAGCGUGGGGAGCGAACAGGAUUAGAUACCCUGGUAGUCCACGCCGUAAACGAUGAGUGCUAAGUGUUAGAGGGUUUCCGCCCUUUAGUGCUGCAGCAAACGCAUUAAGCACUCCGCCUGGGGAGUACGACCGCAAGGUUGAAACUCAAAGGAAUUGACGGGGGCCCGCACAAGCGGUGGAGCAUGUGGUUUAAUUCGAAGCAACGCGAAGAACCUUACCAGGUCUUGACAUCCUCUGACACUCCUAGAGAUAGGACGUUCCCCUUCGGGGGACAGAGUGACAGGUGGUGCAUGGUUGUCGUCAGCUCGUGUCGUGAGA
This 1036-nucleotide ribosomal RNA is filed under the name Bacillus sp. MRSA111B15_13_2E. RNAcentral describes it as "bacterial SSU rRNA". It matches the Rfam family "Bacterial small subunit ribosomal RNA", at positions 56 to 1072 of the family's 1533-position model. The record is from RNAcentral. Lineage: Bacteria; Bacillati; Bacillota; Bacilli; Caryophanales; Bacillaceae.